Molecule: non-coding RNA, 424 nt
Organism: Oncorhynchus mykiss (rainbow trout)
Lineage: Eukaryota; Metazoa; Chordata; Actinopteri; Salmoniformes; Salmonidae
Source: RefSeq, a predicted model, not a curated record
CCAGACAUUACAGUCAAUUUAGAUGAGGACUUCACCAUCAUCUGUUUGAUUCAUGGAUCCUUAAGUCCUGACACCACCUGUAACCUGUAUGUUGGAGAGGAGAGUCAGCCAUCCUUCACAGCACCGAUCAAGAAGAGAAAAGCCAUCUCAGCAUCCGGACAGCAGUUCUGUCAAUUCACUCCAAAACAUAGUGAUCUGAUCAGUCGUCUACAGUCAGUGAGGCGUAAGGAGGUGAGCUGUGGCUACAGAUUGAGCUCAGGACCAAACUCUCUCUCUCCACGCAGUGAUGGGCACAGCUUUACAGAUCUGGUGGGAGUUCACAUCAGUGAUCCAACAACUAUACAGACACCUUCUAUAGCAGUGAGUUUGACUCCAGGUCCUAGAUCUACUUUGCCUCCCAGCACGACAGUGAGUCCUACAGAAG